UAUAGAUUUUGAUGAGACAUGAUUCCGAACAUCAAGGACUGUGAUUUUUAUCAUUACUAACUCCUUGAUCUGAUAGGACCUGCAAUGGAUGAAGGAUGACCAGGAAUUCUUCCGGAUUGUGAGUUCCCAACCCUUCAUUCACAGGCUAGCUCAUAGACAGUUAAGGCGAAGACGAAACAACAGUCCAAACUCAAUGACAAAAAAGAAAAAAGAAAAAAGAAAAAAAGAACUAUAGCAGUUAUGGAGUCGGAUACUUGUAACAUGGUCAUACUUGUAAGUAGUUACCAAUCUUUGGUGUGAUUCAGUUAUGGAGUCGGAUACUUGUAACAUGGUCAUUCUUGUAAGUAGUUACCAAUCUUUGUUGUGAUUGUCUCCUGAGAAUUUGCAUUUUAAGGAUCUGCCGAACCGGAUCCUUGUUAUACUUGACACCCAUAUGCAUAUCGGCUAACAUAGGAAAAUAGUCCAACAAUCAAAGGCUUAAUAAUUUUCCAGCCUGAGAUAUUUUUAGGAAUCAUCCAUCCGCUGCAGGGCAGGGCCUAUCAGAUCAAAGGUUUGAAUCACUGCACCAUGGUCCCAAACGUACAAAAUCAUUUAUUCAUAGGCCCGGUUUGGAAUGGGAUUGAAUUCUGUAGAAAAUGUUAGCCUUUCUGUAAAAAUGUUGGGAACCAAAAAAAAAGAAAAAAGAGGAA
Long non-coding RNA from Magnolia sinica, 689 nucleotides. RefSeq lists it as uncharacterized. The transcript is spliced from 2 exons. Lineage: Eukaryota; Viridiplantae; Streptophyta; Magnoliopsida; Magnoliales; Magnoliaceae. The record is from RefSeq and is a predicted model, not a curated record.